CUUUUGCCUUCAGAGGCGGAGGCCGUCGCAGGUAUUCUUUCCCCUCGAUCUCCAUCAAAAUCUGUGCACGGGGGGCAGAGAGAGGAGUGUAGGAAUCAUACCUGGGGCGUGUCGGCCUUGGAGUCUGCCGCUGGGGCGACUUCUGGUUCUGUUGUGGUGUCGAGACCCGACCAUCGGUCGAGGGCCUGCUGGGGGCAGCGGGUUCCCGACCCUUCCUCCGCUUCUCCUUCGGGCCUCUGGGUUCGGCCAAGCGUCGGUCGGAAGCUCCUUCAUCCGUGCGCAUGUACUUGUAUGCGCGUUCCAGC
RNAcentral lists this long non-coding RNA (305 nucleotides) under Elaeis guineensis (African oil palm). RNAcentral describes it as "long non-coding RNA (EGUI_LNC027924)". Lineage: Eukaryota; Viridiplantae; Streptophyta; Magnoliopsida; Arecales; Arecaceae. The record is from RNAcentral.